CAAGAAGUCAAUCAAGCAUUUGCAUGGAGUAUUUCAUUAAAAGCAUUACCUACAGUAUGACUUGUGGUGCUUCUCAGCUCCACAGAGGUUUGCAUAGUUCUUCCUAUUGACUAGACAAAAGAUGGGUAUUUCUAAUAGAGUGUUUUGAUCAUAUAUUAGCAUGAUCAUUUAUUUUACUUUACUUUUGAAAGAUAAACAUGUUUUACCACAUAUGAUUUUUAUAGGGGAUAUAUUCCCCUUUACUUACUGAUUUUCUUUUCAGAUUUAUUUUAUGUGUGCAUGUUUUGCCUCUAUGUGUGCCUAUGCAGCAACUGUGUGUUUGGUGCCCAGAAAGGUCAGAAAACGGCAUCAAAUGUUCUGGAACUAGACUUACAGAUGAUUUUGUGCCAGCAUGUGGGCACUGAGCAUUGAACCUGCGUUCUCUUAAACAUUGACACAUGUCUCUAGCCCCCACAUUAUGAUUUCUGAAAUUAUGGUUAUUGCGGAAAUAUAUAUGGACUGUUAGAUUAUAUUUUAGAUAACUUUUCAAACAAGCCUAUUGUGAAACAUAAAAGGUUUUAAAAACCUAUUUUGAACAUGGCCAACUCUAUUCUGUAGGUACAUUGUACUUGAAGUGUUUGCUCUUGUAUAUAUUAACUAGUAGUGAAUGAGAUGAUAAUGAAGAAAUUUAAGAGUUCUUACAGUUUCGAAUAGAAAUUAAAUCAUUUCACCAGUACCUUUUCUUUUUCUUCUUCCUAUUUUGAAGAAAAUUAAUGUGAAAUGGAAGUGUAAUGUAUAAAAAUAGUAACAGGAAAUAGAUAACUUUCUGAAAUAAAUGUACUAAAUAGAUGGUUGUAUCUCAUAAACUUUUAAAUAUUCUUAUUUUCCAAUCUAAAUAAAUAACUGAUAUAGAAUAUUUUUGAAAGAUUAUGUGAUAUUUAGAAAUUAUGUUCUGUGAAAUUUCUUUCACUCACUUGGUAAUUUUGAAUGUAGAGAUAGUACAGACUUUUCUAGUACUAAAGCAUUACCUUUGCUGUGAAGGAGUAUGUAGUUUCUAUUGUGAGCAUGUUAUGAUUAAAAUGUGUGAUACUCAAAUACAAAUAAGUGAAUUAAAGACAAAUUUUCAUUAAAGAUAGACUUUGAGAUUUCGUUAGUGGACUAAAGUGGCAGUUCAAAUAGAGAUGAUAGUGCCACCAGUGGGUGAGCACCAAACAAAGAAACCUUGAGCAGUAGAAUAAUAAUAACCUAGACACAGAAAAUCAGAGCCUCAGUAGCACGUCCAUGGAUAUGAAGAUGACAGAUGGCUUAGAGCUGUGGGACUUGCAUCUUAAGAGCUUGUUUGUUGAUAAGGGUAAAAAACACUAUUGGAAACACACAUGAUUUAUUCUUGAUUAUGUGAAAUUUGUUGGAUAUAUUCAAGUUAUGAAAAAGUCUUUUAGAGCAAGACUAUAUGUUAAUUUUUAUAAAGUUUUUUUCUAUCAUUUUGAAGCCCUGUGUUGAAUUAGAAUAAUAAAGGCAAACAUAUUUGGGACAUAUUCACCUGAAGGUCAUAAUUUUACUCAUAGAGAUGGAAAUAAAAUUACUGGAACUUCCAUGGUGGUACCCGUUAGAAUUUAAAAUACAUGUAUUGGGAUCUGUUCUCAGCUUGAUAAGAUGUAGAAUCUCUGUAGACAUGGGCCUCUGGGCAUGGCUGCAAAACAUACUUAAGGGAACUGAGGUGGUGAGACACACCUCUCUAGGCAGCACUGUUCCCUGUCUGGGAUUCUGAACUAUAUGAAAAGGAAAAUGUGAGCAAAUGCAAGCUUUCUUCCUUCAUCAGCUUUGAUAUAGAACUGUGGUUGCAGUGUGACCAGCUGCCUCAAGCUCCUGUAACUUCCUCACCGUGCUUGAUUCUAAACCUUAAACUGUGAAUCAAAAUAAAUCCUAUAUUAUUUUAGUUGCUUUUCUCAGCACAUUUUAAUCCCAGCAACAGGAAAGCACUCAGCAAUUUUGUUUCUAGUAAUUAUAAUCCAAGAAAUAAAGAUAUGUGACCAAGUAGUAUAUGGAUAAACACUUUUAUUAUACAACUGUGGAAUCUUGAAUGAACGUUCAGUAAGUGACUUGCUUAAAUAUCUAAAAUGUUGUAAGAUGAGAGAGUACAAAGCAUGCUGCUGUCAUGCUGAGAGAAAUGUAGGUCAUGACCAUGUGUAUGUACAUUCCUUUCUCCCUGUGUGAAUAUCUCAUUGUCCACUGGAAUUUAGAACUGGCUUUGGGACUCAGUACAGUGUGGAAGGAAGCUAAUUCACUUGUGUAUUCUUCUUUAAUUUGUGUAUUGCAUACAGAUAUUUAAUACUUAAUAUUUAAAAAUAUGAAUGGGUGGAUGACUAGGGAGAGAAUUACAGAGUGGAAUAGAAAUAGAAAUCUAUAGGCAAAAUGUAGAGGAACACUAAGUGCAGGGCAGGCCACAAAUUAACAAUAUAAUUAACUUUUAAAGUCUAAUAAUGUCAGAAAUCAGAAUGUUUAGCACUAAUGUGCUAAAACCAUGCUUAGUAAUUUAGUUGGUAUUACAUUUAGAUGAGAAGUAUAAAAAUACUGGAGAAAUGCAAUAUCUGAAAACCAAAGUAAUUCAAAUUUGUUUGAAGAAGUCUCCACUUAAACCUUUUGCCAAAUUGUCUUUAGUUCUAUACAUUUUAAGACUUACAAAAAGAAGAUUUACAAAUUGGGCUUCUGUGAUCUCUCACAGGCUCAAAUUUCAUGAAAGAUAGAGAUUCAUGACAUGGAAGAAUUCUGUGGAUCUGAUAUAUUGUUACUGUUCUGCUCAGUGCUUUCUCUAAGAACUCAGUAGCCUACCAUUUCCUAACUUGACCAUUCAGGCUUGUUAGUACUGCAUACAAUUGUAUAAAUGUCUUUGAUGAAAUUCAUUUUAAUUUUUUUCUUUUUUUUUUUACUGGAUUUUUUAUUUUACAUUUCAAAUGUUAUUCCUGUUCUUGAUUUCCUGUCCAUAAGCCCCGUAGCCCAUUCCACCUCCCCCUUCUUCUAUGAGGAUGUUCCCCUUCCCCAACUACCUCUUUCCCACCUCCCUGCCCUGACAUUUACCUACACUGGAGGGGGAGUCCAGCAUUGGCAGGACAAAGGGGGUGCCCAAGAAGGCCAUCCUCUGCUACAUAAGCAGCUGGAGCCGUGGAGUAUAAGCCAUUGGUGUUCUGUUCAGAAAAAUUUCCCCAAUGCCCAUGUGUUUGAGGCCCUUAACACAUUUUUCUUCUAUUAGUUUGAGUGUAUCUGGUUUCAUGUGGAGAUUUUUGAUCCACUUUGACUUGAGCUUUGUACAUGGUGAUAAGAAUGGAUUGAUUUACAUUCUUCCACAUACUGACCUUCAGUUGAACACCAGCACCAUUUGUUGAAAAUGCUAUGUUUUUUCCACGGAUGGUUUUAGCUCCUUUGUCAAAGAUCAAGUGACCAUAGGUGUGUGGGUUCAUUUCUGCGUCUUCAAUUCUAUUCCAUUGAUCCACAAGUUGUUUAUCAGACUUAGUAGUUCUCUGGUGGAACUUUUGGGGUCACUUAAGUAUAUUACCAUAUCAUCUGCAAAUAGUGAUAUUUUGACUUUUUCCUUUUCAAUUUGUAUCCAUUUGACCUCCUUUCAUUGUCUGAUUGCUCUGGCUAGGACUUUGAGUACUAUACUGAAUAAGUAGGGAGAGAGUGGGCAGCCUUGUCUAGUCCCUGAUUUUAGUGGGAUUGCUUCAAGUUUCCCUCAAUUUAGUUUGAUGUUGGUGCUUGGUUUGCUGUAUGUUGCUUUUACUAUGUUUAGGUAUGUGCUAUGAAUUUCUGAUCUUUCCAAGAUUUUUAACGUGAAAGGGUGUUGACUUUUGUCAGAUGCAUUUAAUGAGAUGAUCAUGUGGUUUUUUUCUUUGAGUUUGUUUACAUAGUGGAUUAUGUUGAUGGAUUUCCGUAUAUUGAACAAUCCCUGCAUGCCUGGAAUGAAGCCUACUUAAUCAUAAUGGAUGAUAGUUCUGAUGUGUUCUUGGAUUCGAAUCGUGAGAAUUUUAUUGAGUAUUUUUGUGUCGAUAUUCAUAAAGGAAUUUGGCCUGAAGUUCUCUUUCUAUGUUGGAUCUUUGUGUGGUUUCAGUGUAAGAGUAAUUGUGGCUUCAUAGAAGGAAUUGUGUAGUAUUCCCUCUGUUUCUAUUUUGUGGAAUAGUUUGGACAGCAUUGGUAUUAGGUCUUCUAUGAAGGUCUGAUAGAAUUCUGCACUAAACCCAGCUGGUCCUGGGCUUUUUUGGUUGGGAGAUUUUAAUAACUGCUUUUAUUUCUUUAGAGUUAUGGGACUGUUUAGAUGGUUUAUCUGAUCCUGAUUUAACUUUGAUACCUGGUAUCUGUCUAGAAAAUUGCCCACAUUUUCAUCCACAUUUUCCAUUUUUGUUGAGUAUAGGCUUUUGUAGUAGGAUCUGAUGAAUUUUUUUUUAAUUUCCUCAGAAUCUGUUGUUAUGUCUUCCAUUUCAUUUCUAAUUUUGUUAAUUUGGAUAAACUCUUUCUGCCCUCAGGUUAGUCUGGCUAGGGGUUUAUCUGACUUCUUUAUUUUCUCAGUGAACCAGUUCCUGGUUUUGUUGAUUUUUUUUUUUUUGUAUAGUUCUUUUUGUUUCUACUUGGUGGAUUUCAGCCCUGAGUUUGAUUAUUUUCUGUCAUCUACUCCUCUUGGGUAUAGUGGCUUCUUCUUGUUCUAGAGCUUUUAGGUGUGCUCUCAAGCUCCUAAUGUAUGCCCUUGGCAGUUUCUUUUUGGAGUCACUCAGAGCUAUGAGUUUUCCUCUUAGCACUGCUUUCAUUGUGUCCCAUAAGUUUGGGUGUGUUGUGCUUUCAUUGUCAUUAAAUUCUAAACAGUCUUUAAUCUCUUUAUUUUUUCUUUGACAAAGUUGUCAUUGAGUAGAGGGUUGUUCAGCUUCCAUGUGUGUAGGGGCUUCCUGUCGCUUUUGUUGGUAUUGAGGACCUAUCAUAGUCCACAGGAUCUGAUAGGGCGCAUGGAAUCAUUUCAGUCUUCUUGUAUCUGUUGAGGCCUGUUUUGUAACUGAUUAUAUGGUCAAUUUUGGAAAAGGUACCAUGAGGUACUAAGAAGAAUGAAUGUUCUUUUGUUUUAGGAUGAAAUGUUCUAUAAAUAUUUGUUAAAUCCAUUUGGUUCAUAACUCCUUUUAGUUUUUCUGUGUGUCUGUUUAGUUUCUGUUUCCAUCAUCUGUCCAUUGAUGAGAGUGGGGUGUUGAAAUCUCUCAGUAUUAUUGUGUGAGGUACAAUGUGUGCUUUGAGCUUUAGUAAGGUUUCUUUUAUGAAUGUAGGUGCCUUUGCACUUGGAGCAUAGAUAUUCAGGAUUAAGAGUUCAUCUUGGUGGAUUUUUUCUUUGAUGAAUAUUAAGUGUCCUUCCUUAUCUUUUUUGGGUGACUUUUGGUUGAAAGUUGAUUUUAUUCAAUAUUAGAAUGGCUACUCCAACUUGUUUCUUGGGACCAUUUGCUUGGAAAGUUGUUUUCCAGCCUUUUACUCUGAGGUAGGAUCUGUCCUUGUCACUGAGGUGUGUUUCCUGUAUGCAACAAAAUGCUGGGUCCUCUUUAUGUAUCCAGUCUGUUAAUCUGUCUUUUUAUUAAGGAAUUUAGUCCAUGGACAUUAAGAGAUAUUAAGAAAUAGUGAUUGUUGUUUCCUGUUAUUUUUGUUGUUAGAGGUGGGAUUAUGUUUGUGUGGCUCUUUUCUUUUGAUUUUGUUGCAGGGAGUUUACUUUCUUGCUUUUUUCUUUAGGGUGUAGUUUCCCUCCUUGUGUUGGAGGUUUCCCUCUGUUAUCCUUCGUAGGGCUGGAUUUGUAGAAAGAUAUUGUACAAAUUUGGUUUUGUCAUGGAAUAUCUUGGUUUCUCCAUCUAUGUUAAUUGGGAGUUUUGCUGGAUAUAGUAGCCUGGGCUGGCAUUUUCAUUCUCUUAGAGUCUAUAUGACAUCUGCCUAGGAGCUUCUGGCUUUCAAAGUCACUGGUAAGAAGUCUGGUAUAAUUCUGAUAGGCCUGCCUUUAUAUGUUACUUCACCUUUUUCCCUUACUGUUUUUAAUAUUCUUUGUUUUGUGCAUUUGAUGUUUUGACUAUUAUGUGACAGGAGUAGUUUCUUUUCUGGUCCAAUCUAUUUGCAGUUCUGUAGGCUUCUUGUAUGAUUAUGGGCAUGUCUUUCUUUAGGUUAGGGAAGUUUUCUUCUAUAAUUUUGUUCAAGAUAUUUACUAACUCUUUAAGUUGGUAGUCUUCGUUCUCUUCUAUACCUAAUGUCCUAGGUUUGGUCUUCUCAUUGUGUCUUGGAUUUCCUGGAUGUUUUGGGUUAGGAGCUUUUUGUGUUUUACAUUUUCUUUGAUAGUUGUGUCCAUGAUUUCUAUGGUAUCUUCUGCCCCUGAGAUUCUAUCUCUUCUGUCUCUUGUAUUCUAUUGGUGAUGCCUGCAUCUAUGGCUCCUGAUCUCUUUCCUAGGUUUUCUAUCUCCAGGAUUGUCUUACUUUGUGAUUUCUUUAAUGUUUCUAUUUCCAUUUUUAAAUCCUGGAUGUUUUUGUUCAAUUCCUUCGCCUGUUUUGUUGUUGUGUUUUCCUGUAAUUCUUUAAGGGAAUUUUGUGUUUCCUCUUUAACAGCUUCCACUUGGGGAUUGGGGAUUUAGCUCAGUGGUAGAGCGUUUUCCUAGCAAGCGCAAGGCCCUGAGUUUGGUCCCCAGCUCCGGAAAAAAAAAAAAAAAAAAAAAAAAAAAAAAGAAAAAAGAAACAAAAAACAGCUUCCACUUGUUUACCUAUGUUGUCCUGUAUUUCUUUAAGGGAAUUUUUUUAUGUCUUUCUUAAUGUCCUCUAUCAUCAUCAUGAGCUGUGAUUUUAAAUCCGAAUGUUCCUUUUCCAGUGUUUAGAUGUCAUUAUUUGAUUUGGUAGGAGAACUGGGCUCUGAUGAUGCCAAGUAGUCUUGGUUUCUGUUGCUCAGGUUCCUGCGCUUGUUUUUCACUUUCAGGUUGUUUCCUGUCCUAGCUUGACUUGCUGUCUCUGACAGAGGGUUGACCCUCCUGUAAGUCUGUGUGUCAGCACUCCUGUAGACCAGUUUUCUUACAGCCAGAUCUGGAUCCAGAGAGCUGUGCGAGUAGGUCAGCUCCUGGUACAGGUAGAAACCAGAAGGGUCCUGUCCCAGAUUCCUCCUGGGUUUGUGUGUCCUGAGGCCUCCAGGCGGGUCACUCAGAGUGGAAGAGUUGGUCUUCCCUCUGUUCUCCGGUGUGUCAGCGCUCCUGGUGAAUGACUUUCAGCUCUGGGCACAGGCAGAAACUGGAAGGGUCCUAUUCCUGACUGCUCCUAGCUUCCUGUGCCCAGGGGGCACUGGGCAGGUUCCUCUUGGGCCAGGAGUGUGAGCAGAAGUGGAGGUCUCCCCUGAGCUCUCAGGAAUGUCUGCACUUCUGAGAGUCCAGCUCUCUCCCCCUCAUUUUAGUUUUUGCAUAUGACUUUCAGUUACAUGUCAUUCUUGAAAUCCUCUCUUACUUAGAUUUCUCAUUAUUUGGCUGGCAUUUUUUCUUCUGUGAACUAAAAUCAUCUCAUUUUAAAUUCAUAUAAGACAGAAGUGCAGGCAGUAAGCCCUUGAAUUCUACUUACUAAUUUGUGGAGGUGUGAUUUGGGUGAUUUUUAAGUUAAAAGUAUUUCAGAUUCAUGGUGGUGCUUUUAAAACUUGAUUUUUUACUAAAUUUGUGGUUCUAUAGAUAUCCUUAUUACCAGGAAUCCAAGUUAUUAAGCUUUAUAUAGGUUAUGUCAGAAUUCUGUUGCUUUCACCCAAAUCUUUUUAAAAACUUCCCAAGCCAAGAAAUUUACAUUUUAAUAAUCAUAUUAAUAUCUAAAGUUCAAGGCAAAAUGAGCUGUAUUUUAUAUUCCAUUUUAUGAUAUAAUUUUAUAAUAUUUCAAGGCUAGUUUCCUAAACUCUCAUAGGACUGCAGUGAAAGUUGCAUUGUAUAACAUGUUGAGCUGCUUAGAACUAUGAGCAGUUACCAGGCACUCUCAGGUUUCAUUAUUUCUCUGCAUGGCAGCUAUAGUGCAGAAUGGCAAUUUCAUGGAAACUAGACUUGUUAAUAGUUGCUUAGCCCAGAGUGAUCCUUUCAGGGACUGCAAAUAGGAGCACACAUGAAUGCAUGCAUGUGUUCACACAUGCGCACACACGCAUACACAUGCACACACACACACACACACACAGAGAGAGAGAGAGAGAGAGAGAGAGAGAGAGAGAGAGAGAGAGAGAGAGAACGAGAACAGGAAAAUGACAAAUAUAUUAGCUAAAUAUUUAAAACUAUGUUCCCAAAACACUACAUAAUCUUUUGUUUUCUUUUGUGUUUUUUACAUACUAAAAUACUUUUAAAAUCCUUUAUGAUGAUUGAGUUACUACAUUGUGGUCAUGUUUUUCAGUGUUCUUUUCAGCUUGGAGUUAUUAGGUAAAGAAAUUUUGUGAAUAUUACAGAACAAAUCUGUAUAAAACUCAUUGUUCAUAUCUGUAUAAAACAUGUUUUUAAUCAUGUGUAUUUUUAAAAAUAAUGACUUUUUAUGACAUUUUCUGUAGUGUUUAUUAUAUUUUAAUUUAUUUUGUGUGUAUACAGAGUACAUGUGUGGGGGUAGAGUACAACUUUUGGGACUAUGUUCCACCAUGCGAAUCUCGAAGAGUAAAUUCAGGUCGCCAAGUUUGACUCCUGUUGGCCUGACCUCCUGAGUCAUCUUGCCAGCUGUUGUUACAAUAUGAUCAUGUAUGAAUAUGAUGCUUGUUAUGACCGACCGUCACCCUCACCAUUCACCCUCUUGGACCUUCCUCACACCGAUCCUUCUCCCCAAUCUUCCUUCUCACUUUGUUUUGAAUACCAGAGAAACUCCAGUUCUUCCUUGUUGGCUGAAUAAUAUUACAUUGCAUGUGUAUGUGAAAUUCUUACUCAUUCAUCAGUGAGCAUACAGGCUUAUUUCAUAUUUUAGAUAUAAAUUAAUCAUUCAGCAAUAAACAUGAAUGUACAAAUCAUCUCGCUAGUCGGCUGGCUUAGGCUCCUUUUUCUGUGUACCCCAGAGAAGGUUAGCUGGGUUACAUAGUAGUUCUGCUUUGAAAUUUUUAAAGAACUGUUCCCACCAUGGCUGAACUGACUGACAUACAUGUUACCAUCAGUGAUCCUCUCCCUUACCUUGUAUCCUGUUUGCUGUCUUGAUGACAGCUAUUCUUUUUUUUUUCUUUUUUUCGGAGCUGGGGACUGAACCCAGGGCCUUGCGUUUGCUAGGCAAGCGCUCUACCACUGAGCUAAAUCCCCAACCCGAUGACAGCUAUUCUUACUGGAGUCAAGUGGAAUCUAUGCAGUUUGGAUAUACAUUUCCUGUUUGGCUAAAAAGUACAACAUGUUUUCAUUUAUUAGAUACUGAACUCAUUUAUAAGAACUGUCCUUUUCAGUUCAUUUGUUCCUUCCAAAUAAUUGGGUUAUUUCAACUUUUGCUACUUGGUAUUUUGAGUUCUUCUUAUAUCAGAAUGUUAUCCCUCUGUUACAUGAAUAGUUAGCAAUGCUUCUCUCCCAAUUCUAAGGCUAUCUGUUAACUUUGAUAGUUGUUUCCUUUGCUGUGUAAGAGCAACUUGGUUUCAGGUAACCCAGUUUGUCAAUUCCUGCUAUUGCAUUUGGAGCUAUUCAAAUUGUAUCCAGACAGUUAAUGCUGUGUAUGCAUCUUGUAAUUUUCCGUUAGUGGUUUUAGAGUCUCAGGACUUUCAAUUCAAAAUUGAUUGAAAUAUUUAUAAGUAAGAGAUACAUAUAGUUUCUUCUGCAUUUUUAGACACAAGCUUUCUAGUUUCAUUUUGUAAAAUACUUAUUUCAUGUGCUUGAGUAUUUUGCUUGCUUGUAUGUAUGCAUUGCUUACAUACUUGGUGCCAAUAGAAAGCUACAAGAGGGUAUCCAAUUGCUUAGACCUGUAGUUAUAGAUGGUUCUGAUCUAUUAUGUGUAUGUGAGGAGCUAACUCUGAGUCUUCUGUAGGGUAAAGUAAGGUAAAGUACUCUUAAUCACUAAGUUUUCUCAUUAGCCCCAUUAACGUUUAUCAAAGACUCUAUUCUUACCCAUUUUAUAUGUUUGAGUGCUUUUAGGUGUUUCAUGGGGUCCUUUCUGCUUUUCUAUUUUAUUCCAUUGGUCUCUACUCUAUAUCUAUUUUGUUGUUAUAUUUAAAUGUGGGACCAUGAAAGGAACCCUGGUUCCUGGUUGAGCAAAGGCUUAAAAUCCUGGUGACCCUGAAAGGGAAGGUAGACUUUUGGACUGACUCCCAGCAAACCAGGCCCCAUCACUAGCUUCAGCUCUCCAUAGAUUUGUGGCUAUCGGUUACAUAGGGCCAGGCCCUGAGACCCUCUACAGGUAGAGGACAAGACCCUCUACAGGUAGAGGAUGUGACCACAGGUCACUUAGGCUCAAGACAGGUCUCCAUUAUGAGGUACCUAAAGGCCUGGAGGCUUAGCCAAGGCUUAGCCAGUCACUUUUCCUUCCUUGACACUUCUCCCUGCAAAGGAAUUUAAUCUCAGGCCCUGAGAAGUGGGGUACGGUUUUACUCAUCCACCUUUUGCAAUGACAAUAAAUGUCUUAAAACCACCAGGGACUGUCUCUUUUCAUCAGGAUCCACCAUGGGGAGCCACAGAGAAGGCCUUCACCUAGGAGCUCCCAUAUAGGGUCUCCCUGCGCUCCCAGCAGAGGCAGCCAUCAAACUCAAGCCAAGGACUAACCCGCCCCUACACUCUUCUCUUCCCCCUCCCACCCUCCACCCUGUCCCCCACAGGACCAGGCGGAGCUACUCCUCUUUCCUCCUUGGUCUGGUCUAGAUCCAAUCCUUGGCCCCUACUCAGUUCUCAGCUCUUCCGCAGCUCCCAGCAGAGCCUGGAUCCCUAAGAGCCUGAGAACCUGACAGCCUAGCCUCCUUGCAUGCCUGGGGAUCCCCAAACCAACUCAGGCUAUGUCACACUCCUCAGACUGUGUUUCCCCACUCCCCAGAACAGUGUCCUGUGGCCUUCCCUAUGCCUCACUUGGGGUAAGCAUGGUUGACUUCCCUGUGGUGGAGCAGACCCAGGACCCAUUAAUCCAACAAUUAGGGCCUUGCUAUCUUUGAUAUUAUGGCUCUGUGAUAUAAUCUGAAAUCUAGUAUUACUUUGCUUGUAGUAUUGCUCCAUUUGCUUAGGAUUGAUUUGGCUAUUCAGACCCAUGCAUGCUUUUAUAUAGAUACUAGGAUUCUCUUUUUAAGUCUUUGAACAACAUCUUUAGAAUUUGGAUAGAAAAUGUACUUUAUACAUAGAAUACUUGGGGUAAUAUAGUCAUUUAAAAUAUUAAUUCUGAUUAUUCACAAACAUGGAAGAACUUUCCCUCUUUUAAUGUCUUCUUUAAUUUAUUCAGUGUUUUAAAGUUUUCACUGCACAAAUGUUUUCUUCCUGACUACUAGAUUUAUUCCUAGGUAAAUGUUCUCGUUGGUUAGGCUUUUGCGAAUGAUAUUAUUUCCCUGGACAGCAUUUUUGUCACUUGUGUAUUAGAAAGCUACUGAUAUUUGUUUGUUGAUUUGAAUCCUGCUCAAAAAGUAUUAAUGAGGUUAAAGAGUAUUUUGAUUGAGUUUUAUAUUCUUUCAAGUGUAGCAUCAUAUAGACUAGACAUAGAUAAGUGGAAUUGUCUUCUGUUCAUAUCUCACAUUUAUAUGUGGGGCCUUAAUGCCAUGGUUAAGAAUUCAAACACUACAAUACUCAUGAGAAUAGUGAAUAGACACUUCUGUUCCUUAUUUUAAUGGAAAUAUUUUAAUUCAAAUACAUUUAGUGUACAAUUGCAUAUACAUUUGCUCUGAAUUGACUUUUUGGUUGUUGAUGUUAUACUUCAUCCCAAAUUUCUCCAGGAUUCUCAUCAUAAUGGGAUAUUAAACUUUGUCACAGCCUUUUCUGCAUCUGUUGAGAUGAUUUCCUUUUUAAAAUUAAAUUUAUGUGUUAUUUAUAUUCUUUGCAUAUCUUGAACUAUUAACUCAUGUAUUAUAUUUUAUUUAUUGAUUCGCAUAUGUUGAACUAGCCUUGACUAUCCAAAAUAAAACCUGUUAAUCCUAGUGUAGGAGCUCUUUGAUAUGUUACUGCAUUUUGUUUUGAAAUACUUUAUUGAGUAGUUUUGCAUCUUUAUUCAUUAGGGAUGGCAUAUAACUUUCUGUGUUUUUCUCUUCUUUUCUGGAUUUUCAGUGAAGGGAAUGCUGGCUUACCAGAUUGAUUUUGAUAGAAUUCCUUUUCUGUUUUGUGGAAUGUUUUGAGAAUAUUAUUGUUUUUGGAAAAUGAGAUAGAAUUUGCAAAUAAAUUGUGCGAAAUUUAGACUUUUCUUUUUGGGAGACUUUAUUAGAAUAUAAAUUUUGUUCCUUGCUAUAGAUCUAAUUGAGGAGUUUAUGUCUAAUUGGCUUAAUUUUAGUAUGAAAUGUAUUGAAACUCUUAUCUAAAUUUCCUAUUUUAUUGGACGAUAACAUUUUCAGCACCCUGAAAUUUAUUAGCAUCUGUUGUAAUGCCCACAUAUUGUCUCUAAUUUUAUUAUGUUGACUCUUCUCUUUUGAUUAGUUUGUCUAGGGGUUUCCAAACCGUUUAAUUUUGUUUCUGUUUUUUUUUUUUUUUCAGAUUUGUUUGGCGUUUCUUUUUUUCCCCAUCUUUAUUAAAUUGGGUAUUUCUUAUUUGCAUUUCGAAUGUUAUUCUCUUUCUCGGUUUCCAGGCCAACAUCCCCCUAACCCCUCCCUUUCCAUGUGUGUGUUUCCCUCCCCAUCCUUCCCCCAUUACUGCCCUCCCCCCAACAAUCCAGGUCACUGGGGAUCCAGCCUUGGCAGGGCCAAGGGCUUCCCCUUCCACUGGUGCUCUUACUAGGCUAUUCAUUGCUACCUAUGAGGUCAGAGUCCAGGGUCAGUCCAUGUAUAGUCUUUGGGUAGUGGCUUAGUCCCUGGAAGCUCUGGUUGCUUGGCAUUGUUGUUCAUAUGGGGUCUCGAGCCCCUUCAGCUCUUCCAGUCCUUUCUCUGAUUCCUUCAACUGGGGUCUCGUUCUCAGUUCAGUGGUUUGCUGCUGGCAUUCGCCUAUGUAUUUGCCAUAUUCUGGCUGUGUCUCUCAGGAAAUAUCUACAUCCGGUUCCUGCCAACCUGCACUUCUUUGCUUCAUCCAUCUUGUCUAAUUGGGUGGCUGUAUAUGUAUGGGCCACAUGUGGGGCAGGCUCUGAAUGGGUGUUCCUUCAGUCUCUGUUCUAAACUUUGCCUUCCUAUCCCCUCCUAAGGGUAUUCUUGUUCCCCUUUUAAAGAAGGAGUGAAGCAUCCACAUUUUUGUUAUCCUUCUUGAGUUUCAUGUGUUCUGUGCAUCUAGGGUAAUUCAAGCAUUUGGGCUAAUAUCCACUUAUCAAUGAGUGCAUACCUUGUGUGUUUUUCUGUGAUUGGGUUACCUCACUCAGGAUGAUAUUUUCCAGUUCCAUCCAUUUGCCUAUGAAUUUCAUGAAGUCAUUGUUUUUGAUAGCUGAGUAAUAUUCCAUUGUGUAGAUGUACCAUAUUUUCUGUAUCCAUUCCUCUGAUGAAGGGCAUCUGGGUUCUUUCCAGCUUCUGGCUAUUAUAAAUAAGACUGAUAUGAACAUAGUGGAGCACGUGUCUUUGUUAUUUUUUGGAGUAUCUUUUGGGUAUAUGCCCAAGAGAGGUAUAGCUGGGUCCUCAGGUAGUGCAAUGUCCAAUUUUCUGAGAAAUCUCUAGACUGAUUUCCAGAAGGGUUGUACCAGUCUGCAAUUCAACCAACAAUCGGAGGAGUGUUCCUCUUUCUCCACAUCCUUGCCAGCAUUUGCUGUCACCUGAGUUUUUGAUCUUAGCCAUUCUGACUGGUGUGAGGUGGAAUCUCAGGGUUCUUUUGAUUUGCAUUUACCUUUUGACUGGAGAUGUUGAACAUUUCUUUAGGUGUUUCUCAGCAUUCCUCAGCUGUGAAUUCUUUGUUUAGCUCUGAACCCCAUUUUUAAUAGGGUUAUUUUGUCUUCCUGCAGUCUAACCUCAUGAGUUCUUUGUAUGUUUUGGAUAUAAGCCCUCUAUCUGUUGUAGGAUUGGUAAAGAUCUUUUCCCAAUCUGUUGGUUGCCGUUUUGUCCUAAUGACAGUGUCCUUUGCCUUACAGAAGCUUUGUAGCUUUAUGAGAUCCCAUUUGUCGAUCCUUGAUCUUAGAGCAUAAGCCAUUGGUGUUUUGUUCAGGAAAUUUUCUCCAGUGCCUAUGUGUUUGAGAUUCUUCCCCACUUUUUCUUCUAUUAGUUUGAGUGUGUCUGGUUUGAUGGGGAGGUCCUUGAUCCACGUGUACUUAAACUUUGUACAGGGUAAUAAGACUGGAUCGAUCUGAUAUCUUCUACAUGCUGACCUCCAGUUGAAAAUGCUAUCUUUUUUCCAUUGGAUGGUUUUGGCUUCUUUGUCAAAAAUCAAGUGACCAUAGUUGUAUGAGUUCAUUUCUGGGUCUUCAAUUCUAUUCCACUGCUCUAUCUCUCUGUCUCUGUACCAGUACCAUGCAAUUUUUCUCAUUAUUGCUCUGUAAUACUGCUUGAUUUCAGGGAUGGUGAUUCUCCCAGAAGUCUUUUUAUUGUUGAGUGUGCUGUCAAGCUGCUGAUGUAUGCUCUCUCCUGUUUCUUUCUCCAGGCACUUAGAUCUAUGAGUUUUCCUUUUAGCACAGCUUUCAUUGUGUCCCGUAAGUUUGGGUAUGUUGUACCUUCAUUUUCAGUAAAUUUUAUGAAGUCUUUAAUUUCUUUCUUUAUUUCUUCCUUGACCAGGUUAUCAUUGAGUAGAGCAUUUUUCAACUUCCGUGUAUAUGUGGGCGUUCUUUCCUUAUUGUUAUUGAAGACCAGCUUUAGCCUGUGGUGGUCUGAUAGUACGCAUGGGAUUCUUUCUGUCUUUCUCUAUCUGUUCAGGCCUGUUUUAUAUGAUUAUAUGGUCAAUUUUGGAGAAAAUACCAUGAGGUGGUGAGAAGAAGGUAUAUCAUUUUGUUUUAGGAUAGAAUGUUCUAUAAAUAUCUGUUAAGUCCAUUUGGUUCAUGACUUCUGUUAGUCUGUCUAUGUCUCUGUUUAAUUUCUGUUUCCAUGAUCUGUCCAUUGAUGAGAGUGGGGUGUUGAAAUCUCCUACUAUUAUUGUGUGAGGUGCAAUGUGUGUUUUGAGCUCUAGUAAGGUUUCUUUUACGUAUGUAGGUGCUCUUGUAUUUGGAGCAUAGAUAUUUAGGAUUGAGAGUUCAUCUUGGUGGAUUUUUCCUUGGAUGAAUAUGAAGUGUCCUUCCUUAUCUUUUUUGAUGACUUUUGGUUGAAAAUCGAUUUUAUUCAAUAUUAAAAUGGCUACUCCAGCUUGCUUCUUCUGACCAUUUGCUUGGAAAAUUGUUUCCAAAAGUAGUGUCUGUCUUUGUCUCUGAGCUGUGUUUCCUGUAGGCAGCAAAAUGCUGGGUCUUCGUUAUGUAUCCAGUUUGCUAAUCUGUGUCUUUUUAUUGGGGAAUUGAGUCCAUUGAUGUUAAGAGAUAAUAAGGAAUAGUGAUUGUUGCUUCGUGUUAUCUUCGUAUUUGGAUGUGAGAUUACAUUCGUGUGCUUGUCUUCUCUUUGUUUUGUUUCUUGCUUUUUCUAGGGUGUAGCUUGCCUCCUUAUGUUGGACUUUACCAUUUAUUAUCCUUUGUAGGGCUGGAAUUAUAGAAAGAAAUUGUAAAUUUGGGUUUGUCAUGAAAUAUCUUGGUUUCUCCAUCUAUGUUAAUUGAGAGUUAAUUGAGAGGAUACAGUAACCUGGGCUGGCAUUUGUGUUCUCUUAGGGUCUGUGUGACAUCUCUCCAGGAUCUUCUUGCUUUCAUAGUCUCUGGUGAGAAGUCUGGUAUAAUUCUGAUAGGUCUGCCUUUAUAUGUUACUUGACCUUUUUCCCUUUCUUUCUUUGUUUUGUGCAUUUGUUGUUUUGACUAUUAUGUGACUAGAGUAGUUUCUUUUCCUGUCCAAUCUAUAUGAAGUUCUAUAGGCUUCUUGUAUGUUUAUGGGCAUCUCUUUCUUUAGGUUAGGGAAGUUUUCUUGUAUGAUUUUGUUGAAGAUAUUUACUGGUCCUUUGAGUUGGGAGACUUCACUUUCUUCUAUACCUAUUAUCCUUAGGUUUGAUCUUUUCAUUGUGUCUUGGACUUCCUGUACGUUUUGGGCCAGUAGCUUUUUCUGUUUUACAUUAUGUUUAACAGUUGUGUCGAUGAUUUCUAUGGAAUCUUCUGCUCCUGAGAUUCUCUCUUCUAUCUCUUGUAUUCUGUUGGUGAUGCUUGUAUCUACGACUUCUUGUCUCUUUCUUUGGUUUUCUAUAUCCACAGUUUUCUCCCUUUGUCCUUUCUUUAUUGUUUCUAUUUCCAUUUUUAAUUCCUUCUCCUGUUUGUGUUUUCCUGUAAUUCUUUCAGGGAUUUUUAUGUUUCCCCUCUAAGGGCUUCUACUUGUUUACUUGUGUUUUCCUGCAUUUCUCUAAGGGCGUUUUUUAUAUCUUUCUUAAAUUCCUCCAUCAUUAUGAUCAAAUGUGAUUUUAAAUCUAGAUUUUGUUUUUCUGGUGUGUUUGGAUAUUCAGUGUUUGCUUUGGUGGGAGAAUUGGGCUAUAAUGAUGCCAUGUAGUCUUUGUUUCUGUUUCUUGGGUUCCUGUGUGUGCCUCUCGCCAUCAGGUUGUCUCUGGUGUUACUCUUUUUGCUAUUUCUGACAGUGGCUUGACCUUCUCAUAGGCCUGUGUGUCAGGAGUGCUGUAGACCUGUUUCCCUGUUUUCUUUUAGCAAGUUAUGGGAACAGAGUGUUACUCUCAGACGUGUAGUCUUUCCUGUCCACUGGCUUUCAGCUGUCCCUGUGGGCAGGAACCAGAAGUGCCUGCCCCUACUUCUCCUAGGUCCCUGUGUGCAGGAGGCCCAGAUGGCACUAGGUGUUUUCCUCUAGAGUCAGAAAUGUGGGCAGAGAGUAGUCUCCUCUGGUUUCCCAGAUGUGUCUGCCCCUCUGAAGGUUUAGCUCUCCCUCCCACGGGAUUUGGGUACAGGGAGCUGUUUGACCGGGUCUGUUUAGAUCCAGGCUCAGUCUGAACCGCAGGGCUCCUGCAGCUUGAGUGCCCCUAUCUUCCUGUUCCCAGAGGCCCUAUACAGUUUCCUUUUGGGCCAAGGAUGUGGACAAAGGUGGGCAGAAGUGACAGUGUCUCCUGCCCUACAGUCUCAGGAUUGCCCACACUUCUGGGCGAUCCGCUCUCUCUCCACAGAUUUUUGGAGCAGGGAGCUGUGGGCCAGGAUCAGCGAGGUUAAUUUUGUUUUAUUGUGUAUCCUAUCCUUUAGGAUUACAUUUCAUUAGUUGUUGCCCUGAUCUCUGAUCUCUAUAGUUGGUUUGUAUUCAAUGCUUUAGAUGGUGUUUUUGUUAAGCAUUGAAGCUUAAUUAUGCUUUAUUUAGCUCUCUGUAUUUAAAGUCUUGGAAACGUUUCUCCUUUUGUUUGAUUUUACAAUUUUUUAAAACUAUUUCUCUAACUUCUGUGACCCACAGAAGCGCAUAUUACCCAAUCUUCAUUAGUGUGUAUACUGUUUGUCGUAUCUUGACUAUGCAUUCUCAUUUCUCGAUUAUUAUCUGAUUAGACACAAUGGGCAUUGAACUUUUCUUUGUUAAGACUUGCAUUGCAUUGCAUUCUAAAAUGUUUCCUAUGAUAUAGAAAAUUUUAAUGUAGGUGAAAAUGUUUUUCACAGCAUGUUGGAAUAUCCCACAAAUAGUACCGUUUACAUAUAAAGUUCCUUGCUUCCCUUUUUUGUGGAGGUGGGUUUGAAAAGGUUUUCUACAUUUCUUUUACAAUAUCUGGAUCUAGCUUUAAUAUUCAGAAGUGUUUUGCUUUGCGAAAUCGAUCAUGUCAAUGAGUUCUCUCUAUUACUAUGUAGUAACUCCUUUUAUCUCUUAAGACUAAUUUGGACCUGAAUCUAUAUUGUCAGAAGUGUAGUUGCUCUUGCUUGCCCUUAAGUUCAACUAACUUGGCGUAGACUGUUUUAUUGUUUUGUGUUUUUAUUUCUAACAUUCAUUCACUUUCAGUGUUUGCUUUGCUUUAUACUGGAAUGUCUUUCUUGAAGACAUCCAGCAGUUGGAAAUUGCUGUAUAAUCCCGCCUGCAUGCCUGCCUCUUAUAAUUGGACAUUAAUACCAGUAAUAUUAAACAUAAUAAUUGAGAGAUAUUUGCCAUAAUUUUAAAAUAUGUAUUUGUUACUGGUCUUCCUUUUCUGUUUAGAUUUCCCUUUAAGUGCAAUUAAAAUGCAAGCUUAUCAGUUUUUAAAUACUUCACUUUGUACGUUUUUGAAAUAUCUUUAAUUUUCAUUAAGUAAAAAUGAUAUUGUUGUAUUAAUCUUCAUUUGUAGUCGUAGUAGUUUGUAUUGUUGUGAUAAAAUGCUUGACGAAAAGCAUCAUAGAGAGGAAGAUUUUUUUUUUACUUUUUUUUAUUGGCUAUUUUAUGUAUUUACAUUUUAAACAUUGUCCCCUUUACCCACGCCCACCUACCCAUUCCCACCUCACUAUCCUGACAUUCCCCUACACUGGGGCAUCUAGCCUUCACAGGACCAAGGGCUCCUAUUGGUGCCCAACAAGGCCAUCCUCUGCUUCAUAUGCGGCUGGAGCCAUGGUUCCCUCCAUGUGUACUCUUUGGUUGGUGGUUUGGUCCCUGGGAGCUCUGUGGCCUCUGGUUGGUUGAAAUUGUUGUUCUUCCUAUGGAGUUGCAAACCCCUUCAGCUUCUUCAAUCCUUUUUCUAACUCCUCACUGUCAGAUCUUCUCAGGAUAUCUAUAUCAGUCUGUCAGCAAGCACUUCAUGGUAUCAGCUGUAGUGUCUGGGUUUGGUGUCUGCAGAUGGGAUGGAACCCCGGGUGGGGCAGUCUCUGGAUGACCUUUCCUCUAUUCCACACUUUCUUUCCAUAUUUCCUCCUGUGAGUGUUUUGUUCCCCCUUCUAAGAGGGACUAAAGCAUCCACACUUUGGUCUUCCUUCUACUUGAACUUCGUAUGGUCUGUGAAUUGUUUCCUGGGUAUUCUGAGCUUUUGGGAAGUAAGGAACCUAGAAGCAGGAACCAUACACAGACCGUGGAGGGGUUGCUGACUGCCUUGCUUUUCAUGGUCUGCUCGACCUAUAUUCUUACACAACCUAAGAUCAGUUGCUAAGGUGUGGCUGGGCCCUCCCACUUCACUAAUUAAUCAAGAAAAUGCUGCCUCCAACUUUUCUACCUAUAUUUCAGUCUUGUUGAGAUUGCCUGUACCCAGAUUACACUAACUUGUAUCAAGAUGCAAAACAGUAGAAACAGCAACAGCAACAAAACUCCAACCAACCAACCAACCAACCAACCAACCAACCAACCAACCAACCAACCAGCCAGUCAGCCAAUGAAACUAGCUAGUAGUCAUUUCCUGCCAUGGCUUGAACUAAUGUUUUUAUGUUUUCCUGGCCUUCAUGGCUUUUCCUGAGUCAUCAUUCCUUAUAGUUAAGUCUAGAUUUUUUUUCUGGUCCCAUUUAAUAUUAUGUCUUUUGUUUGAUGUCCAUAGUCUUUUUAAAAAUACUUGCAUUGUGCUUUUCGAGAUUGCAAUUAUCCCCUUUACCUUUUUUUGGUUUCUCUUCAAACCUUCUCAUAUACUCUUCCUUACUCUUUUAUAAAUUAAUGACCUCUUUUUUCAUUAAUUGUUACACAUACACACAUAAAAUCAAUCUCUCUCUCUCUCUCUCUCUCUCUCUCUCUCUCUCUCCCCCUCCCUCCUUCCUUCCCUCCCUCCCUCCCUCCCUCCCUCCCUCCCUCCCUCCCUCCCUCCCUCCAAAAUAUGUAAGUGCAACCUUCUCAGUGCGCACAGCGUCACUUGUAGGUGUUUUCAGGGCUGACCCUGAUAUGCUCUCCUGGGGAUGACCAUUUCUCCUGCUCUCAGCCUUCCGUAGUUGCUUGUAGUUCUCUGUGUAGCUUUGAACAUUGCAAAAGGGGCACAAAGACUCUAAGAGCCAAAGGACCAGGGAGUUUGCUGUGAGAUUGGCUAAAGUCAUCUCCAUUGGCUAUUCAAAGCCUCUUGCUUCCCUGGAAACUGGAACUUUUUAGUAGAAGUUCCAUCCCCCACUGCUACAUGUUUCUAUUCAAAUUCCUGAUCCUCUGUCCUUUCCAAUACUUGUUUCUGCCCCCCCUUUUCCCUCCCAGGUUCCUCCCUCCCUUUACCUUCUGUGAUUGUUCUGCUCCCAGUUCCAUAUAGUUGAAACAUCUACACUUUGGUCUUCCUUCUUCUUAAGCUGCAUAUGGUUUGUAGGUGUUAUUGUGGGUGGGUUACCUCACUCAGCCUAUUUUCUAGAUCUGUCCAUUUACCUGAAAAAGUCAUGAAGUCAUUGUUUUUAAUAGCUGAAUAGUACUCCAUUGUGUAAAUGAACCUCAUUUUCUGUAUCCAUUCCUCCAUUGAGGGACAUCUGGGUUGUUUCCAUCCUCUUGGUAUUAUAAAUAAAACUGCUAUAAACAUAGUGGAGCAUUUGUCCUUGUUAAAUGUUGGGGCAUCUUUUGGGUAUAUGCCUAGAAGUAGUAAAGUUGGGUCUUCAGGUAGAACUAUUUCCCUAUUUCCAGUUUUCUCAGGAACAGCCAGACUGAUUUCCAAAGUGGUUGUACCAGCUUGCAAUCCCAACAGCAAUGGAAGAGUGUUCCUCUUUCUCUACAUCCUCACCAGCAUCUGCUGUCACUUGAGUUUUUAAUCUUAGCCAUUCUGACUGGUGUGAGGUGUAAUCUCAGGGUUGUUUUGAUUUGAAGGAUGUUGAACAUUUCUUUAGGUGCUUCUCAGCCAUUCAAUAUUCCUCAGCUGAGAAUUCUUUGUUUAGCUCUGUACCCCAUAUUUUAAUUGGGUUAUUUGACUCUCUGGAGUCUAACUUCCUGAGUUCUUAGUAUAUUUUGGAUAUUAGCCCUCUAUUGUAUGUAGGGUUGUUAAAGAUCUUUUCCCAAUCUGUGGGUUGCCAUUUUGUCCUAUUGACAGUGUUUUUGCCUUACAGAAGCUUUGCAGUUGUAUGAGGUCUCAUUUGUCAAUUGUUGAUCUUAGACCAUGAGCCAUUGGUAUUCUGUUCAGGAAAUUUUCCCCUGUACCAAUGUGUUCAAGGCUCUUUCCCACUUUCCCAGUUUAUCUUCUAUUAUAUUCAGUGUAUCUUUUUUUUUUUUUUUUUUUUUUUUUUUUGUGGAGGUCCUUGAUCCACUUGGGCUUGAACUUUGUACAAGGAGCUAAGAAUGAGUCAAUUUGCAUUCUUCUACAUGCUGACUGCCAGUUGAACCAGCACCAUUUGUUGAAAUCCUUUCUUUUUUCCGUUGGAUGGUUUUGGUUUCUUUGUCAAAGAUCAAGUUACCAUAAUGUGUGGGUUUAUUUCUGGGUCUUCAGUUCUAUUCCAUUGAUCCACCUGCCUGUCUCUGUACCAAUACCAUGCUGUUUUUAUCACUAUUGCUCAGUAGUACAGCUUGAGGUCAGGGACAGUGAUUCCUCCAGAUGUUCUUUUAUUGUUGAGAAUGGUUUUCACUAUCCUGGAUUUUUGUUAUUCCAAAUGAAUUUGAGAAGAGUUGGAAUUUUGAUGGGGAUUGCACUGAACCUGUAGAUUGCUUUUGGUAAGUUGCCCAUUUUUACUAUGUUAAUCCUGCUGAUCCAUGAACAGGGGAUAUCUUUCCAUCUUCUGAGGUCUUUUUGUAUUUUAUUCUUCAGAGACUUGACGUUUUUGUCAUACAGAUCUUUCACUUGUUUGAUUAUAUUCACUCCCAAAUAUUUUAAAUUAUUUGUGACUAUUGUGAAGGGUGUCACUUCCUUAAUUUCUUUCUCAGCCUGUUUUUCUUUGAGUAGAUGAAGGCUACUGAUUUAUUUGAAUUAAUUUUAUAUGCAGCCACUUGUGGAAUUUGGUUAUCAGCUGUUGGAGCUCUCUGGUGGAUAUUUUGGGGUCACUUAUCAUAUGCAAAUAGUGAUACUUUGACUUCCUCCUUUCCAAUAUGAAGCCCAUUGAUUUCCAUCUGUUGCCUAAUUGCUCUGGCUAGAACUUCUAGUACUAUAUUGAAUAGAUAGGUUGAGAGUGGGCAGCAUUGUCUAUUCUCUGAUUUAGUGGGAUUCUGAUCUCUCCAAUAUUUUUAGCAUGAAUGGGUAUUGUAUUUUGUCAAAGGUGUUUUCAGCAUCUAAUGAGAUGAUCAUGUGUCUUUUUUUACUUUGAGUUUGUUUACAUAGUGGAUUACAUUGAUGGAUUUUCAUAUAUUCAGCCAACCUUGCAUCCCUGGGAUGAAGCCUUCUUGAUCAUGGUGAAUGAUGGGUUUGAUUUGUUCUUGAUUCAGUUUGCGGUGAUUUUAUUGAGUAUUUUUGCAUCAGUAUUUAAAAGCAAAAUAGAUCUGAAGUUCUUUUUCUUUUUGGGGUCUUUGUGUGGUUUAGGUAUUAGUGUAACUGUGGCUUCAUAAAGCAAAUUAGGUACUGUUCCUUCUGUUUCUAUUUUGUGGAACAGUUUGAAGAUUAUUGGUAUUAGGUCUUCUUUGAAAGUCUAAUAAAAUUCGGCACUAAACCCAUGUGGUCCUGAGUUUUUGUUGUUCUUGUUGUUGUUUGUGUGUUUGUUUUGUUGGUAGACUUUUAAUGACUGCUUGUAUUUCUUUAUGGUUUAUGUGACAAUUUAGAUGGUUUAUCUGAUCCUGAUUCAACUUUGGUUCCUUGUAUCUGUCUAGAAAAUUAUCCAAUUCAUCUAGAUUUUCCACUUUUGCUCAAUAUAGGCUUUUGUAGUAGGAUCUGAUGAUUUGUUUUUAAUUCCUUUGGUUUCUGUUGUUAUGUCUCCCUUUUCAUUUGUGAUUUUGAUAAUUUGGAUACACUCUCUGUGCCCUCUAGUAAGUCUGCCUAAGGGUUUAUAUAUCUUGUUGAUUUUCUCAAAGAACCAGUUCCUGGUUUUGUUGAUUCCUUUGUAUAGUUCUUUUUGUUUCUACUGGGUUGAUUUAAGCCCUGAAUUUGAUUAUUUCCUGCUAUCUACCCCUCUUUGGUGUAUUUGCUUCUUCUUUGGGCUUUGAAGUGUGCUGUCAAGCUUUUGGUGUACGCUCUCUCCACUUUCUUUUUCAAGGCACUCAGAGCUAUGAGCUUUCCUCUUAGCACUGCUUUCACUGUAUCCCAUAAGUUUGGGUAUGUUUGCCUUCAUUUUUGUUAAAUUCUAAAAAGUCUUUAAUUUCUUUAUUUCCUCCCUAACCAAGGUAUUAUUAAGUAGAGCAUUCUUUAGCUUCCAUGUGUAUGUGGACUUUCUGUCAUUUUUGUUGUUAUUGAAGACCAGCCUCAGUCCAUGGUGAUCUUAUAGGGUGCAUUGCAGUUCUUUCUAUUGUCUUUUAUCAGUUGAACCAAGUCUUUUUCUGAUUUGAAAAUCUUAUGCUCCAACUUCAUUGGUUAGAUUUUCUAUGCUUUGUUUUAUAGUUUAGCUUAUUCUCUUAUCCUGUCAAUUCUUGGGUUGUUCUUUGGUUAUUUCUCUGAGGUAUUAAAAGUUGUGUUCAUGUUUGUUUUUUCUUCAUUUUUUUAAUUUAUUGAUAUUUUAAUAUGGUGUUUCCCUAACCUCACCUUCUGGCUUUGAUAGUCUUUAUUCUGCUUGAUAUAGCCUAUUUGAAAUUACUUUCUUAUGUGAUUUAAACUUUUUUUAAAAAUUUUAUAUCUGUAUAUAGUUUAUCUUGAUUAUAUAUACUACCUCAUUUUUCCUUUAGCUCAUCGUGGCUGUUGCCCCCAAAUCCAUGCCAUUAAAAACAAUUACUGGGCUAAAUUCAACUAGUGUUUCCUUUAUGCUCGUGAUUUUGGGACAUGGCCAACCUACCAGUGACACCCUUCCAAAGAAAAAUUAUUCUCUCCCUUAGCCAUCUUCUGCCAAUAGUUGCUCAGUUGAGAUGGGGCAAUUGUAACUGGAUUGGUAUUAUUAUACUGGUCUUAUGCAAGCAACCAUAGCUGUGUGAAUUCAGGGAUACAUGUACACAGGACAAUACUCACUCUGCCUGCUACCUUCUUUUUACACCUUAUUUUUCCCAUGCUCUUUGAGUCUUGGCGUGCUAGUGGUGGUGUUGAAAUCGUUAGCUCCUCUGUCACUGAGCACUCAGAGUUGCUUAUUCUUAGCCCUCACAAUAGACUUUUCCAACUGCAAUAAGAAGCUCAUUUCGCCAAGGUUGGGACAAGCAUAAAUCUGUGGGUAUAAAUUCAAAUAUUUAGAAGCCAAUUUGAUAAUAUUACCAUUUGACAAACAGCAUCAAAGGAUUCUCUCUUAGAGUAUAUACCUUUUCUAGCUCUAUGUUUUGACUCUUCUUACCUUACUAGUUAUGAAUUCCCUUUUGUGGGACAGUAACCAAAUCCGUCCAAAGAGUUAUUGUUUAUACCCAUAAACAAUCUUGAUUGUUCCAGGUAGCACAGCUUGCCUAGCAGGGUCUGUAUUUUAUAAGGCAGUGUUCAGUGCUAGGGAAUUACAUAUUUUUAUUGGUUGAUUUCUAGUAUUUCUAUAUCCCUGUAUUUCCCAAAUCUCCGUUUUCUUGCAGAACUGUGUUGCUGGCUAUUAUGUAGGUCUAGCAUUAAUGUCUUUAUUUUAAUUUGUCUUCGUGUUAAAAGUGUCCAUCCUUUCUAUUUCAAUAUCUUAAUAGUUCAGUUUUAAGCUUUAAGAGGUUUUAUUGUGCCUUGCUUUUUUGUAUUUUUUUAAAUUUCUAAGUUAGUAUUUGUACAUCAGUUAGGGGGUGUACACCUUUGAAAAAUUUUUUUAAUUUAGUAAUUUUAAAAUUUAUUGAAGCUUAUUUCAGUAAUCAUCUUCCAGAUAAUCAUUACUUGUUCUACUCGUGGUGUCAGUCAUUUUCAUUAGAAAACUCAAUGCAAAAAAAAAAAUCAAAAACAAUUACUUUCAUUAUCUCUCUCUUUAGAAUUGUUUCACACAGGUUAGUGUUAGAGACAUGUGAUAUAAAUGUAGAGAUAUUGCUUCUUAAUAUCAAAGUCUGAUACAAAGUUUCUGUGAGUUAUACAUAAAGUCCUAGAGAUUGUUUAGGGCAAUGGACAUGAACUUUAGGUCAGUCUUGCUCUGAAGCAGUGGUGUAACAGUCACUGUGUUACCUGCUGUUCCUAUGCCAACAUCUGAAGCCUCUUCCAUGUUUCCCCUGAGGAUGCAGCAGGAACUAUAUCUUGUCUUAUAGACUUUCAGUAGUUCAAACACUGUAGGUUGAUACUUUUAGAGCUGUGUUUAUUUUAUGAGUAUGUGUGUUUUACAUGUCUGCCUGUCUGUCUGUGUUAGUGUGCACCAUGUGGAUGCAGUGCCCUUGGAGACCAGCAGUAACAGAUAAUUGUUAACCAGUAUAUAGGUACUGGGAAUGAAGCCCUGGUGCUUUGCAAGAGCAAUUAGUAAGUGCCCUUAACUACUGAAGCAUAUUUUCCGGUCCCUGGAAAUAUUAAAAAAUUAUCAAACAGAAUGAGAAGCUAAGAAGUUUUUUUAAAUUAAAAAAUUAACUAAUGUAAGAGUUAAAAGUUUGAAUGCAAUUAGAGGAUUAUAUGAAAUAGGCCAGGCCUUCCUCUACUCUCUGUCCCCAGCCUAUGUGGAAGCUAGCAAUAUGUAUCUCAUGGAACUAGAGUCCAGAAUUGCUAAUAUACAUAUGUUACAUUACUAGGAGUGAAAGAAAAGGAUUAGCAAUUAGGUACAAAACAGAUAGGAAGAAUAGGUCCAGGGCUUUGAGCUCAGUGACGUGACUACAGUUAACUGAUUUACUUUAUAGUUCAAAAUAGCUAUAAGGAUGGAUUUAAGGGCUGGAGAGACGGCUCAGCGGUUAAGAGCACUGACUGCUCUUCCAGAGAUCCUGAGUUCAAUUCCCAGCAACCACAUGGUGGCUCACAACCAUCUGUAAUGAGAUCUGAUGCCCUCUUCUGGUGUGUCUGAAGACAGCUGCUCAAAUACAUAAGUAAAUAAAUCUGUAAAAAAAAUGGAUUUGAAUAUUUUAAGCAUAAAUGCAUGGCAAAUUGGGCUGGGAAGAAAGCCCAGUUGGGAAAGUACUUGUCUUACAAGCUCAAGGACCUAAGCUUUAUUCCUAGAAUUCAAAGAGAAAAGGCUGGGUAUGGUGGCAUGCAUUUGUAAUCUCAGUAUCGGAGAGUAGGAAACAGAAGGAACUCUGCAGACCGGACCCACUGGCUAGCCAGGCUAGCCUACUUACUUAUUCAAGACUCUGUCUCAGCCUCGCAGAACCUGAGUAAGGACACCUGAAGCUGUCCUCUGGCCUUAUGUACAUGCGCUCAUGUACCUGCUCCUGUGUGUGUACCUGCCUUGGCUAUUAUUCUUUAGGAGUUGAGAUGGUGUCUCUCAUUAGAACCCAGGGUCCUGUAAUUAAACUAAACUGGGUGUCCUGGGAUCCACAGGAUCCUUCUACUUGUACUUCCCUCAUGCUGGGCUUGCAGUUGUGACAGCAUGGCUGACUGUAUGAAUUUUGAAGAUUGUGGUUCAAGCAUCAAGUGGUUGUCUCCCUGGCCUCUUCCUGAUGGUUUUCUCUUCCUUUCUUCGAGCUUUUGGUAUGUAUGUACUUUGUUUAGUACUUCUUGUUGGUGUCCUGUGUAGCUGCUCGCUCCUGACUUGUAUUUAGUAGUACUCCGAGAUUCUGCCCCUACUUUACUGAAUUUUAGGAUUUUACUUAGGUUCUUGGUUUUAACAAUUUUCUUGGUAUCAACAAUUCUAAAAUUGAACUAUAACAUCACUUGCAUAUUAAAAUUUCAGUAGGUCAAAAUAAAGCCCAUUGCUUCUAUGUCCCCAUCACCAAUUUUUUUCCUCUAUAUUAUUUUCAGCAAUGUCUACUCAGCCAGCUACAAGAAAACCUCAACAACAUUGAUCUCUCCCUUGGUCCAAAUUACUCUGCUGUACUACUCUCCCGAAGGGUGCUUAUGGUCUCCUUAGCCAUUGGCCCUCAGAAGCACUCAUCGAGAGCCAACAUAACAUCUGGUGUCCCACACAUACCUACUCUUCCAAAGCCUUUUAUAGUACUUGCCAUGUUUCAGCACAGGAUCAUGUCCCGUGGGUUAGUGCUUUUCCUUAAUGUCUGAAGAUUUCUAUAGCAGUUAGUACUAAUAGGUGAUGAGUAACUUUUAUAUAAUUUCAGAAAUGUUUACCUGAGCAUAUCCUCAGAUUCUUUUGUUCUUUACUUGUUUAUCUAAUAAUAAUUUUAAGAUUAUGAUCUUUUUGUGUGCAAAAGUUUCUAGCACUCCUUGUCUACCUAAUAGAAUUCCAAUUAUACCAAGGUAGACAACACCGUAAUAAGCUGGUCCUUCCUAUCCCUCCCUUCAUCUCUCUGUGUCUCUGUGUCUCUGUCUCUGUGUCUCUCUUUCUCUCCCUCUCUUUCUCCCUCUCUUGCUCUUGCUCUCAUUCUAAAUGUGUAUUAUUCUUUAGCCACAUAACUCCAUGUUCUCUGCUAAUAUUUGUGUUUUGUAUUGGGAACUUGUAGAAUUUUUAAACGGAAAUUGGAGAAUAAGGAGGAGAUCGGGGUGAGCGAGAGAAGGUGGAGAUGCUUUGAAAUGGGAAUGAUCAGCGCACAUGCAACAGUGAAAGUCACAGUGCAGGCCACGGUUCUAUACAGUGAACAUGCAACACCAAAAAUCUGCUGCUUUCUACAAAUGCUUAAUCUUCCCCCCCGUGUGUGGCUGCUGAGCUAGAUUGCAUAGAAAUACAAAGAUGGAUACAUUCCACGUAGUAGUCUUUUAUAUCUCUUAAGUUUUCCUUUGGUGAAAAAUUCUAUCUUACACAACUUAAGUGAACUUUAUCUGUGACAUGUCCAUAGUCAUCUUACGUACUAAAGUGUUGUUAAUAUCCACAUCAAAAAUGUAUUACAGCCUGCCAUUUUUGUGAGUAUAUAUGCAUCUCCCUCAUUGAGGUGGAAUUCCUUAGUGGUGGAGAUUGUCUGUUUUUUGUCAUUUGUUGAUUGCUGCAUGGAAGGGGAAGGUUAUAGGUAGUUACUGAGUUUGGAGAUGAGCCCUAACCACAGGCAAAGCUGCAAAAAAGAGAGUAUGCUUGUUGCCCCAGCAACAAGAGAUCCAAGAGGGUAAGGCUGGAGUGGGUGGAUGGGGAGCAUCCUCUUAGAGGCAAAGGGGAAGAUUCAUGGGGUGGGGCUUGCGGAGGGGAGACCAGGAAGGGGGACAACAUUUGGAAUAUAAAUAAAUAAAAUAAUCUUUAAAAAAAGAAAAAAAAGAGUUAUUAUAUACCCACUUUCCCUUGUCCUAGUGUGCUACAGAAUUAGCUUACAAUAAUGGUCAUUAAUGAAGAUUAGAUUGACAUGUUGGUUUAACACCUGGGUGGACACAGUGAUCCAGAAAGUUAGGGCAUUAACGAAGAAAGCUGUGUUAAACCACAGCCAAAGAACACGCUUUGGGAAAGAGAGCACAGUCAGUGGCCUAAACUCUGAAAUAAGAAGAGAGCUGAUUAUAAAUAGGUUAUUGGAUUUGGCAGGUAUAGGUCACUGUUGACUUACACGAGUGAGUUCCAUAACAUAGCAAAAGUAGACGUCAUGUGGCAAUGAGUUCUAAAAUACAGCAUUCUUCCUCUUAAUUAUGAAACUUGAGCUGAUAUUUUUAUGGAAGCUGGCUGGCAGACAAAAUGUAGCUGUAUCAUCUAAGUAAAGACCUAGAAUCCUGAAUAUGUUACAUUAAUUUAGAGCGGCUCUCUAUAUCUUUUGCCAGUGUGUAGCCAGUGGUAGAAUUGAUUCUUUUUUUUCUAAAGAAAUCUAGAGACUUAAAAGACUAUUGCAGCAACGUUGUGAUCACAGCAACUGUCAGCACCACUGGCGUGCUGACUCAGCAUGGCAGAUACCAUGUUUUUCAUAAUUGUUUUUGAUUAUCCAUUCUUCAGAAAUAAAACAUCAAUGCCAUCUCAACAUGGUGUCCCACGUAUGACAAAACAUGGUAAUAAAGCAGGGAACAGCAUAGUUUAUAUACAUCUCCUAAAGUGUUUGCUUCUAGUAUAGCUAAUGUUCUUUCAGUAAGUUUUAGCAAUAUCAGAACUCUUUCUCACCCGUCUUUCAACAAUCACAUACAAAGUUGUCUUAAAAAUCACAUACAAAGUUGUCUUAAAAAUAAUUUAAGCAACCCAACAUGCAUGCAAAAUGGGUUCCAUCCCCAGUACCACAGAAACUGGGUAUAGUGGUGCAUGCCUGUCAUCCUAAGCACUUGGGAGGUGGAGGCAGGAGAAUCAGAAGUUCAAGGCCAUCCUCAUUACCUGGUGAGUUGAGGCCAGCCUGAUAUGCUGACUCAGACAGAAAUGGCUCUGUUGGUAGUUAUUAGGUCCUAGCCAAGCACUGUCAUUUUCAUCUGGAACAUACAAUGAUGAUGUAUUUAUGAUGUAUUCUCACUAAGGUUCACAAUCUGUAACUCAGUUCAACACAGAUCUCUUGAGCUUUAAAAGGUAUUUGAAGUAAUUUAAGUCGGCAUUCAAAAUUAUGAAUUAGAUGUUUUUAAAUUUCUGCAUAAUAAUUUUGCACUGUAAAAUAUGUCCUUUCUCCCAUUUCCUUCUGCCAUUCUGAUAUGCUCAUUAAAAUAUUUUUGUAAGCAUAAAAAAA
This is a non-coding RNA of Rattus norvegicus (Norway rat), 29427 nucleotides long. The record is from RefSeq and is a predicted model, not a curated record. NCBI's taxonomy places the organism in Eukaryota, Metazoa, Chordata, Mammalia, Rodentia, Muridae.